CUAAUUCGAUCAAUCUAACACUACUAAAAGCCCGAUAUACUGAACAGAGAGCUAUGACACGUAGGAUAGUUUAUUCGGGCCAAUCAGAAACAUGUCUUUUGCCACGUCAGACAGACCUUUCAUUAUUUUACGUGUUAUUGGGCUGUGUCAAUGAAAGCAUAAUCGGCCCGAUAACUCUGAGUUCCGCUAACCACGGCUGCAGCAAAGAACGGAGUUCGUCUCUUCUAUUCGUUGUGACGGCGAGGCUGUGACUUUUGCAAUUCUUCUUGCGAUCUGAAACAGUCAUUAAUGGCUUCAUGAUAAUCCAAUUGAUUCGUUUCUCCACGAUUCAUCUUUAAUACUUUGCUUAGAUCUGAAAGGUGGUGUGUAAACGAUAUAAAUAGAAGUGAGUAUUGAUCUUCUUGAACUCAUCCUCUCUUCGUAUCUCUUACAAUAUACUAAUUCACGGUGUUAAUGUAAUCCUAACGCCGUUGGUAACUGUUUCAAUCAUGUUGCUUCCUCUGGACCGAUGAUGAUCGCGAACCUGAAACGAGCUCUUCGGGUGUCGUGUUGACCUGUAGCGGAGCAGGAGCAGUAUGUAUCUCCGAGCAAGCCACACAGCAGGAGGAGGAGACAGUUCAAACAUGUCUUCUUCCAUGAUCAAGAGACUCCACCGUUGAUGCAACAGCAAAGCGGUUUGUUAGGAGAUGGAUUAUUAAGAACGACGUCAUACCAAAUACCAGGUUUAAACUGAUACAGAGCAUCAUGGAGAGUGCAUAAAGAAUAUUCAGAAUACGGAAAAAGAUCACAAGAGUAUGAAAAAGGCAAGAGAUUGUGUAUGAUAGAGUCUGGUGUACUCAGGUCGAAAUAUCUGGUACAUCAAGCAAGCUUGGGAAAGGUUAAUUGCUCGAGCCUCAGAAGAGUGUGAUGCCAUACGAGAGUCUCAUUUGUGCCUUUGUUAUCUGGAAUUGUACACAAACAGAAACAAACACACUUGAGAACAAGAAUCCUCAGCAAUUUGGAAGGGGCUCUUUACAAGGUUUUAACCUGGCCAAAAUUCAUUCCUUCGCUCUUGGAUGAGAUUAACUGGCAGAAGAGAAUAUGAUGGAAUCUGUAUAUAUUUCCGUCUGGCCAGUUUCGUCAAUAACCACACACAUUAUUCUUUGUCUUUAAAGUGUUACCAAUGCGAUGAUGACUUUUGUUUUAUCUCCGACUUGCAACACUACAAACCAGCAUUAAGACGCCAGAGGCAUGGUUAUUAUUGGUCUCAACACCGAAUGUUCAAUUCAUCCAACUUUAUGUGGAUUCUUUCAAGUCGUGCAUGCUUACUUGGUCUGCUUCUUUAUAACAUGUGAUCUUAACGUCAAAUCAUUCGUCUCUGUUAAAUUCUCAGCCAAAUAUGUAAUGAUUGAGCUUUUAGAUAUGAACUACAAAUAAUAAUCCUAUGAAGUAUAGUACAGCAGCGAUAUGACCAAAUUUCAUUUUAUACUUGGUCCACUCAUUCUCUGGUUUCCAAUUUGAGACUCUAUCAACCAUAUGGUCAAAUGUGCAUACAAAUGGGGAGUAGUAUUUUACGGUUUAUUUGGAGGAGAGCAAUUUGUCUCCAAAGUUCGUCCCUAAAAAAAACAAUUUGUCUCCAAAAAAAGAUAUAACUAAAUCUUUAUGUAACAUAUUAACUUCCUUGAUCAUGACAUAUGUCUUCUCAAAUUCGUCUCCCUUCUCAAUGCAUUACGUACAAAGAGGCUAUAGCUAAUAAGUAAUAACUCGACUAGGAUAUGAUACUUCUUUUGUUAUGAUAAUUAUUAUUGGAAUUACAAAGGUCCAAAAUCCGGCAAAAAAAUUGAAAUUGGUUUUCUCAAAAAAAUAAAUAAAUUGAAAUUUGUUAUUUUCAAGUCGCCAUAUUCAUCUGUUAUUUUCAAAUAUACAUAUGGAAUACACAGGUGGCACUGUACAUGUGAUGUAUGGUUACAUAUUAUAUGCAUUCGAGUUUUUUCAUCUAUUAUUUGUUGAAUCAAUUUAAUUGGUUAUACAUUUUACAAUAUUUUACAUCAAAACAUAUAUAAAUAAGAUAAACAAAUAUUUAUAUAAUGGGUCCAAUUAGUUGAAGCUUUUUAUCUAAAAGUACGAAAAGUUUUAAACCGCUGAUUUAAGAAAAAAAUAAAACAUAAAAAUAUAGGGUUGUAGAUUUAAGGGGAGGGUCCAUUAAACAACUUGGAUACAAAUUAGAAACAAAAACCAUAAUCAGUUUUAAGUGAAAUGAAACAUUUAUAUAGUUCAACCAAUUAAACACCAUAACUAAAAAUUAAUAAUAAUUAAUAAUUUUUGUUUAUUCUACUCAUCACCUUAUAUAUAAUUUAUAAUAACAAAAAAUGAAUAGAAAAUUUUUUGAAAUGUGCAAAACAGAAAGAAUGAAUAAUUUAAAAUGAUUUUAUAAUUGUUUGUCUACUUAUAUUUUUAUAAUAGAUUAUAAUCACUACUAUAUAAAAGAAGCUAUUUUUGGAGCUUCUAAGGGGUGCCACGUCAGCAUAAAUAUUCUCAUCCAAUCAAUGAACCAUGUCAUUUUAAAUUUCAUAGAUUAUUUUGCUUCUCCAAAAAUACAAGCUAUGUUCUGACUAAAUUAAAACUCAUUUACAAAAACCCAACGAAAUCAUUAAAAAUCUCAUCUAAAGAAAGGCCCAUGCCGACCCUUUAUCUUCCUCCUCACCUUGGAAACCUAUUUUAAUCUGUAAGCAGAGACGACAGCUUCGGAGACGGAGCUACAGUUCUGUCUGAUUGUGAAUGUUGUGUUCCUUGCGUACUGAUGAGGAGUCGUGGUGAGACAAGAACAGUUCUUUCGAACGUAGACGUCACCGGAGGUUAUAUCGGCUGUUAUGUCGGAGGGUAAUGCGUCGAACAUGCUUUGGAUUAUGGGGAAGGUUUUGGUUUUUGUUCGGUUUGAAAGCGAGGAAAGAAGUGCAGAGAUGGGAAGUGUCGGAGCAGUUCAUCGGCUUCGAGGAGGAGAGGAGAGGUAAGAUGAAGAAGGAAAGAACCUAGAAAGUAGAAGUUGCUAGAGUCAUCGAAAGGUUUGAUUUUUCUUAGGGAUUAAGAAGAAAGAUUGUUGAUUUUGUGAAAUUGAAAGGUGAAUCAAGAUGGGUUUUGAUUGGUUUUGUUAAUGGAGAUGUGAGAAAGAAGUUGAAAUCAGAUGAAAUCUCAGUCAUGGGAGAAGAGUGAAGCUCACAGUUUCUGAAGGACUUUUUGAUUAGAUAUUUAGUGUAUUUAAUUAGGUUAGGUGUUUGUUAGUUUUGUACCUAAUACUUAUGUUGGAUUUAUAUUAUUUUUGUCCGAACC
This is a long non-coding RNA of Brassica napus (rape), 3306 nucleotides long. RefSeq lists it as uncharacterized. The transcript has 4 exons. NCBI's taxonomy places the organism in Eukaryota, Viridiplantae, Streptophyta, Magnoliopsida, Brassicales, Brassicaceae. The record is from RefSeq and is a predicted model, not a curated record.